Molecule: ribosomal RNA, 497 nt
Filed under: uncultured bacterium
Lineage: Bacteria
Description: partial 16S ribosomal RNA
Rfam family: Bacterial small subunit ribosomal RNA
Source: RNAcentral
GAUGAACGCUGGCGGCGUGCCUAAUACAUGCAAGUCGAGCGAACGGGCGAGAAGCUUGCUUCUCUGAUGUUAGCGGCGGACGGGUGAGUAACACGUGGAUAACCUACCUAUAAGACUGGGAUAACUUCGGGAAGCCGUAGCUAACACCGGACAAUAUUUUGAACCGCAGGGUUCAAAAGAGAAAGACGGACUUGCUGUCACUUAUAGAUGGAUCCGCGCUGCAUUAGCUAGUUGGUAAGGUAACGGCUUACCAAGGCAACGAUGCAUAGCCGACCUGAGAGGGUGAUCGGCCACACUGGAACUGAGACACGGUCCAGACUCCUACGGGAGGCAGCAGUAGGGAAUCUUCCGCAAUGGGCGAAAGCCUGACGGAGCAACGCCGCGUGAGUGAUGAAGGUCUUCGGAUCGUAAAACUCUGUUAUUAGGGAAGAACAUAUGUGUAAGUAACUGUGCACAUCUUGACGGUACCUAAUCAGAAAGCCACGGCUAACUACGUG